Molecule: non-coding RNA, 119 nt
Organism: Ricinus communis (castor bean)
Lineage: Eukaryota; Viridiplantae; Streptophyta; Magnoliopsida; Malpighiales; Euphorbiaceae
Source: Rfam
GGGUGCAAUCAUACCAGCACUAAUGCACCGGAUCCCAUCAGAACUCCGAAGUUAAACGUGCUUGGGCGAGAGUAGUACUAAGAUGGGUGACCUCUUUGGAAGUGCUCGUGUUGCACCCC